RNAcentral lists this ribosomal RNA (500 nucleotides) under uncultured bacterium. RNAcentral's name for it is "bacterial SSU rRNA". It matches the Rfam family "Bacterial small subunit ribosomal RNA", at positions 899 to 1397 of the family's 1533-position model. The record is from RNAcentral.
ACUCAAAUGAAUUGACGGGGGCCCGCACAAGCGGUGGAACAUGUGGUUUAAUUCGAUGAUACGCGAGGAACCUUACCUGGACUUAAAUGGCAGUUGCAUAGAUCAGAGAUGGUCUUUUCCGUUAAAAGACUACUGUCAAGGUGCUGCAUGGCUGUCGUCAGCUCGUGCCGUGAGGUGUCGGGUUAAGUCCCAUAACGAGCGCAACCCCUGCUGUCAGUUGCCAACGGGUAAAGCCGGGAACUCUGACAGGACUGCCGCCGUAAGGCGCGAGGAAGGCGGGGAUGACGUCAAGUCAGCACGGCCCUUACGUCCAGGGCUACACACGUGUUACAAUGGCCAAUACAGAGGGCAGCGAGCAGGCGACUGUAAGCGAAUCUCGAAAGUUGGUCCCAGUUCGGAUAGGAGUCUGCAACCCGACUCCUUGAAGAUGGAAUCGCUAGUAAUCGCAUAUCAGCCAUGAUGCGGUGAAUACGUUCCCGGGCCUUGUACACACCGCCCGU